RNAcentral lists this ribosomal RNA (240 nucleotides) under uncultured Smithella sp. RNAcentral describes it as "partial 16S ribosomal RNA". It matches the Rfam family "Bacterial small subunit ribosomal RNA", at positions 1145 to 1382 of the family's 1533-position model. The record is from RNAcentral. Lineage: Bacteria; Pseudomonadati; Thermodesulfobacteriota; Syntrophia; Syntrophales; Smithellaceae.
GAGACUGCCGGUGUUAAACCGGAGGAAGGUGGGGAGUGACGUCAAGUCCUCAUGGCCUUUAUGCUUAGGGCUACACACGUGCUACAAUGGGUGGUACAAAGAGAAGCCAACUCGCGAGAGCGCGCCAAUCUCAAAAAGCCAUCCUCAGUUCGGAUUGGAGUCUGCAACUCGACUCCAUGAAGUUGGAAUCGCUAGUAAUCGCGGAUCAGCAUGCCGCGGUGAAUACCGUUCCCGGGCCUU